This 71-nucleotide transfer RNA is filed under the name Sphenophryne schlaginhaufeni (Wandolleck's land frog). Its description in RNAcentral is "Liophryne schlaginhaufeni (Wandolleck's land frog) tRNA-Ile". Lineage: Eukaryota; Metazoa; Chordata; Amphibia; Anura; Microhylidae. The record is from RNAcentral.
GGAAACGUGCCCGAAAGCUAGGCAUCUCCUUGAUAGGGGGACCAAUAUGAGUUCAAACCUCAUCGCUUCCU